Molecule: long non-coding RNA, 1998 nt
Organism: Mytilus californianus (California mussel)
Lineage: Eukaryota; Metazoa; Mollusca; Bivalvia; Mytilida; Mytilidae
Exons: 2
Source: RefSeq, a predicted model, not a curated record
CAUCUUGGUUCGCGGGCGGGGUCAUCGGACACAUUUUUUAAACUAUAUACCCUAAUGAUGAUUGUGGACAAGUUUGGUUAAAUUUGUCUUAGUAGUUUCAGAGGAGAAGAUUUUUGUAAAAGAUUACAAAAAUUUACGAAAAAUGGUUAAAAAUUGACUAUAAAGGGCAAUAACUCCUUAAGGGGUCAACUGACCAUUUUGGUCAAGUUGACUUAUUUGUAGAUCUAACUUUGCUGAACAUUAUUGCUGUUUACAGUUUAUCUCUAUCUAUAAUAAUGUUCAAGAUAAUAACCAAAAACUGCAAAAUUUCCUUAAAAUUACCAAUUCAGGGGCAGCAACCCAACAACUGGUUGUCCGAUUCAUCUGAAAAUUUCAGGGCAGAUAGAUAUUGAUCUGAUAAACAAUUUUACCCCAUGUCAGAUUUGCUCUAAAUGCUUUGGUUUCAGAGAUAUAAGCCAAAAUCUACAUUUUUCCCCUAUGUUCUAUUUUUAGCCAUGGCGGCCAUCUUGGUUGGUUGGCCGGGUCACCAGACACAUUUUUUAAACUAGAUACCCCAAUGAUGAUUGUGGCCAAGUUUGGUCAAAUUUGGCCCAGUAGUUUCAGAGGAGAAGAUUUUUGUAAAAGUUUACGGACGACGGACGCCAAGUGAUGAGAAAAGCUCACUUGACCUUUCAGGUCAGGUGAGCUAAAAAUGCUAUUUUUGGCCCCUUUUUUGUCCCUUAUUCCUAAACGUUUUGGGCAAUUCCCCCAAACUCAAUUCCAGCUUUCCCUUUGUGUUAUGGAACCCUGUAGUUCAAUUUCAGAAAGAUCCAUACACUUACACACAAGUUAUUAUCAUGAAACUAGAAAAAUGCUUAUUUUUUGCCCCUUUUUUGGCCCCCAAUUCCUAAAAUUUUGAGGCAAUUACCCCCAAAAUCAAUCCCAGCAUUCCCUUUGUGAUAUGGAACCUUGUGGUACAAUGUCAGAGAGAUCCAUACACUAACACACACGUUAUGUCUGGAAAUUACAAAAAUGCUUAUUUUUGGCCCCUAAUUCCUUAACUGUUGGUACCAUAACCCCCAAAAUCAAUCCCAACCUUCCUUUUGUGGUAUUGAACCUUAUGGUAAAAUUUCAUAGAGAUCCAUUCACUUAAACCAAAGUUAGAGUGCGAAAACCAAUGUGUCUUCGGACGACGACGCCAACGUCAUACCAAUAUACGACCACAAAAUUUUUUAACGGUCGUAUAAAAAGAAGAUAAAAUUUGUCAUUUAAGGGCAAUAACUCCUGUAAGAAGUCAUCCGACAGUUUUGAUGUAUAUGGACAAUUGGUAGAGCUCAACAUUCUCUAUAACGGUUUUCAAAACAAUAGACAAAACUUGCAUUUUACCCCUAUGUUCUAUUUUUAGCUAUGUCGGCCAUCUUGGUUAGCAGGCAGGGUCAUCAGACACAUUUUUUAAACUAGAUACCCCAAAUGAUGAUUGUGGCCAAGUUUGUGAAGGGCCAGGUGAGCUAAAAAAAAAGUGCGGAAAACUGAUUAUUUGCAUGAAUUUUCUAAGUCCGAGGACCACAACUCUGCACAAAAUCAUCAGACCGGAACAUAAUUCGAACUCGAUCUGUAACUCAUGGGAAAACUAUAUACAAUAUAUCAAAUCAAUAUCAAAAGUGCAGAAAACUGAUUUGCCGGACUGACGGAUGGACAGACAGACAGACGGAGGGCAAACCUAAAGUCCCCUAGACUUCGUCGGUAGGGGACAAAUAGGUUCAGGCCGAAAAAAAGAAGAAAAAAUUUUACAAAAUUUUGUUUCUUGUAUUUUGCAACUUUUUCAACUUUCAAUAUAAAACACAAUGAUCAACAUCUGGAUGCUAUGUAACGAUGAUGGUCUAGUUCACUGAUGAAUAUACUAAUUCAAUAUAUCACACAAAUUCAUUUAUUAAAAAUCUAAGGUCCACCGUGUUUAUUUAUUUUGUGCAAUACGCCAUGUGAUGUACAACUCUUGGAACUUGUCAAAUCCAGCCAAUA